This 1618-nucleotide long non-coding RNA is filed under the name Salvia miltiorrhiza (redroot sage). RNAcentral describes it as "long non-coding RNA (SMIL_LNC007228)". Lineage: Eukaryota; Viridiplantae; Streptophyta; Magnoliopsida; Lamiales; Lamiaceae. The record is from RNAcentral.
GCAGCCCAAACUCUCUCUCUUUAGACUCUCGGUCCUUCUCUCUCUCCCAUCUCUCCUUUACCUCAAUCACAGCCGACACUCCCCUCUCUCAAACCAGCCGCACGCCUCUUCUCCCUCUCACUCUCGACUCGCCUUCACACGAGGCGUCCGCCGCCGAGACUCCAGCCGUCAUCUGCUUCGGUUGGCUUCGACCGGCGACGUCAUCUCUCUUCCUCAAUCUGCACGCAGAGUUCAAAAUCAAGCCCUAACUUCUCCUGGUAAAUCGCAGCUGCCGCACCUCCGUAUGGAAUCCGGCGAGCGGUCGGCGCCGGUCGUGGCCGUCUCUCUCUCCCUUCUGAAUCCGACGGCUGCUGUCUUCUGGAGCCAUCGCCGACUAGAGUUGCUGCUGCUCGGGCUCGGUACCGGUCGAACAGAGCGGUUGCGUCUCGUUCGUGGCUGCGUCGGCUGUUCUUCUCAACCCAAUGAAGGUGCAGCAGAAGCCCUAAUUUCCUCUCCGAUUUUGAACCGCCUCUCCCUCUCUCCCCGCUCAGCGCCGCGGCGUUUUGUAAAUCCGGCGAUAGCAGCCCCAGCCACCACCGCUCCUUCCGUCGUUGGGCCCUAGUUCUCAGAAAAAGGGAAAAACGCAACUGUCGAGCGACCGCUGCUGCUGCGCACGAGUCUCAGCUCGUCGCCGGGCAGCUGCUGUUCGGGGCUCUGAUGAGGUUGGACGAGUUCGCCCUGUCCCGACCGUCGUCGUCGUCCCCGUCCCCGUCGGGCAGUCAGCCCUUCUACAGCUAAGUUCAAUACUUAAGUCUAUGUGGAGUCUUGGUUUUUGCUACUGAUUUAUGAGAGUUUUCUCAUUGCCUUUAUCUUAAGUGAAGAAAAUAUAUACUGAUUUCUGUAUUAUGCAAGAGAUAAAACUAAGUUCGUGGUUUACUAAUGUAUCAAGAAUUUUCCUUGCUUGCCUCGUGUGAUAAGAAAAUAUAGCAUAAACUGAUUUCGAUUGCUAAGUCCCUGUGUGCAUAUAUAUACACACCUGUAUACUAUGUAUUUCCUUUUUAAACAUAUGCUUGAUGAUAUGAUGUAUGAACUGGAGCUGAGCUAAGUAUAUACCUGCUAUGCUUGGUGUUGGUGGCUGUUUGUUGCUAUUGAAUUCAAUGGGGAAGGAACUGAAAUUGCAAAUAUUGUUUUCUCAACAAAUGCAGAAAGAACCAAGUAUGGAAUGAAGAAAACUUAGGCCAAGACUCACCUCUCGAUACUUGGCAGUUGGCAGCAGCUUAAUGAAUUUUCCUCGCUUUGGUGGUUGAAGGAACUAGUAGCCUUAAAGAACUUAAAGAAUUGAAGAUGGUGGGGAGCAAAGUGGAAAAAUGUAGUGGAGGAAAGCAAAAGGUGGUGGCGUGGAGUGGAGUUAUUGGGAAGUUUGGUGGUCGGCUCUUUCAUAUACAUUCCCUACUUUUGAAUUUUCUCUCUUAUUGACUAAUGUGCCUACACUUGAGUGAAGGCAUUAAGUAAGCCUCGUAGAGUCCAAUCCUUUGUAAUAUACUAAACGAUUUUUCCCAAGCUGGGAACUAGCCUGUAAUCUAUAAACUGUAAAUAAAUACUGGCUUCGAUUUUAAAUCAUCGCAUUUUUGUAUCUGCU